Non-coding RNA from Doryrhamphus excisus (bluestripe pipefish), 8955 nucleotides. The record is from RefSeq and is a predicted model, not a curated record. Lineage: Eukaryota; Metazoa; Chordata; Actinopteri; Syngnathiformes; Syngnathidae.
ACGUUCGAGACCGGUAUCACACAGGCCUGACUUUCUCAGACAAAUUGCUGUAAUGAGUUACUGCCCAUUCCGCUGAAUAGCGCCAGUCAAGGCAAAAGGCAGAAAUAGCCCAAUGGAAGAUCAGAUAAGAAUGCCAUUUCCCAACACUGGAUGAUUUGGACUGCCGUACACCACCCCUAGUUGGCUACUAGUCCACUUUGUUUGGCAUUGGUUCAAUCAAUGUGCAAAUACUUUCUGAAAUUACUUUAUUUAUACUAAUUUAUUACAAUUACUAUUUCAUUUUUGUGCUAUUUCCACACUCGGCUGCUUUUAUUUUGGCUCUAAAAACUAAAUUUCCCAGCCUAAAGCACAUAAAGUCCCAUCUACCGUCAAACAACGUCCCAUUUUAGCACAGGAUUAGCGUAGCCGUUGUAGAUUUUAUUUGCAGUUGUUAUCUAAAAACACAAUUUCUAACUGUAAAACAAAUCAGGGGAGGCCUACUGUCAAAAAUGUUGUAUUUUAGUACGAAAUGCCUCACUUUUAGCACUCAUGGUCCAUUACCUUAACUUUUCAAGUUGAGAAUAGCAUUUUAUUAAGAGCUAAUUAAACAUAAAUUAUAAAUUUAAACCAUUUUCCUUGAUAGCUACUAUCUACUGGAAGAUAUUCGCUAAAGCAGUUAGCUUAGCCGUUGAAGAUUCCUUCAUAAGAGCUACUUAUUUAACAACUUUCUCUUCCUUAAUACCUUUAAUUUGCAUCUAAAACACAAUUUGUAAGUCUAAAACAUAUUAAAUACAGUGUCCUGUCAAAACAUGGAUGAUUUUGGUGAUAAAUGGUUCAGUUUUAGCAGAGGGACAUUAGCUUAGCCACUAAAGAUUAUUAGCCCAUCAACUCAAUUGACUCAAAAUGGAUAAAAUAUAGAUUAUUACAGGAUAUUGCUCGUUACUGUCAUCUGUUCUACAUGGUGUAAAUAUAUUAUACUAUAAUCCCUUUCUGAAGUUAUUUAGUGAAAUGAUGCAUAUUGACUAUCAACUUAUUGCUUAGUCAGCCAUGUUUGUUGUUUACCUGUGACGUCACAACUAGUACGCGCCAAGUGAAAUACUUCCUACCUUUAUUACCUGCGACCAGAGAGUUGGAUGGUGGUAUUCCGCUAAGGAGAAGUGACCCAAACCAAGACCAAGAUGGAAUUCCGACUGGGAUUUAGGAUCACUCUGGUCUUGGUCAUCCUGACUCUUUCAAGGGAAAGUGUGGACGCUCAGAGGGCGGGGUGCAAAAACGUCCACUAUGACCUGGCGUUCAUCCUGGAUACCUCAUCCAGCGUCGGCAAGGAGAACUUCGAGAAGAUCAGGCAAUGGGUGGCCAACCUGGUGGAGUCCUUUGACGUGGCGCCAGACAAGACCCGAGUGGCUGUGGUCCGCUACAGCGACCGUCCCACCACCGAGUUCAACUUGGGCAGAUACCGGAACCUGGAGGACGUGAAGCAAGCCGCUAGGAACAUACGCUACCUGGGGGGAAAUACAAUGACCGGGGAUGCUAUCAGCUACACCACCGACAACAUCUUCAUGGAGCGAAAUGGGGCCAGACCCGUGGGAGCCAGGGGCAUCCAAAGGGUGGCCAUUUUGCUCACGGACGGUCGGAGUCAGGAUUACGUUCUGGAGCCGUCUAAGUUGGCCGCCAAGGCUGGCAUCAGGAUGUUCGCGGUGGGCAUCGGGGAGGCACUGAAAGUGGAGCUGGAGGAGAUUGCGGCGGAACCCAAGAACGCUCAUGUUUUCCACGUGACGGACUUUAACGCCAUCGAUAAGAUCAGGGGUCGGCUCAGGAGGCGGCUUUGUGAGAAUGUACUGUGUCCAAACAUGAAAGUGCAACCUGAUCGCUUCAAACAAAACAGCACCAGUUAUGGCCUACAGGAGGUUCCAGGCUUCGACUUGAUGGAGUACUUCAGUGUCAAAGAUAUUCUGGGAACAAGACUUGAUGAGGGCCAAAGUGCGUACGUUCGUCUUGGCACCAUGCCAAUUGUGCAGCAGACUGAAGACGUGUUCCCCCAGGGUUUGCCGGAUGAAUACGCCUUUGUGACGACGUUUAAAUUCAGGAAAACCUCAAGACGAGAAGAUUGGUACCUCUGGCAGAUUUUUGACAAAUAUGGAAUCCCACAGGUGUCCAUCAGGCUGGACGGUGAGAACAAGGCGGUGGAGUACAACGCCGUGGGACUGACCAAGGACGCCGUGCGAGCCGUCUUCAGGAACUCCGAAGUGGACAACCUGUUCGAUCGCAACUGGCACAAGAUUGCGCUGAGCGUGGAGGCCAAGGCCGUGUCUCUCUACCUGGACUGUAAGCACAUUCAGACCCUGCCGAUCGGAGACAGGGAGGACAUCGACAUCCAGGGGAAGACGGUCAUCGGGAAGAGGUUGUACGACAGCGUGCCGAUUGAUUUUGACCUCCAGAGGAUGGUGAUCUACUGUGAUUCCAAACAAGCCGAGCUGGAAACCUGCUGUGAUUUACCUAAUGGGCCUUGCCCCAAGAAGGUCGUGACAGAGGCUCCUCCAGUGGCGAUCCCCACCCCGACCCCUACCGUCGCGGAGCAACAGAGGGGCCCCCAAGCCAACUGCUCGUGCCCUGCAGGAGAGAAGGGAGAGACUGGAGCACCUGGCCUUGCAGGCCUCAAGGGUGAAAAGGGUGACGCCGGCCCUCGAGGUGCCACAGGGCUGUCGGGCCUGAGGGGAGAAAAAGGAGAAGCUGGCAAAGUAAUCUCUGUCAAAGGUGACAGAGGGGAGAAGGGUGAUAGAGGCUCCAUAGGGCUGACAGGUACCCCUGGACAAAAGGGAGAGAAGGGAGUCGGGGGUUUUCCUGGUAUUGAUGGCCUAUCUGGAGACAAAGGAGACAAAGGGGAGGCAGGACGGGCUGGGAAUCCAGGACUUCCUGGUCUCACUGGAUCACAGGGCAUUCAAGGUGACGCAGGAUAUCCAGGAACACCGGGACCAAAAGGUGUCAAUGGCGAUCGGGGAAUAAAAGGUGAAAAGGGAUCGAUAGGACCCAGUGGGACGACCGGUUUGGAUGGAUUACCUGGAAAACCUGGCGUUGCUGGCCAAGAUGGUUUGAGGGGACAGACUGGUUUGCCUGGGGCCGGCGGAGUCAAAGGUGACAAGGGGGAGCGAGGAAUUCCCGGAUUACCCGGUGAUGUGUAUCAACAAGAGGGCCUAAGAGGGGAAAAGGGAGAUGUUGGACUUCCCGGGCCUCCAGGUGCUGAUGGCCCACCAGGACUUCCUGGUCCUCCAGGUGUACAGGGUCUACCAGGAGAGCCCGGAGAAUUUGGCCAAAGAGGAAAGAAAGGUGAAAGCGGAUUGCCUGGAGUAGAUGGACUUCCAGGACCUGUUGGUCCACAAGGUCCAGCGGGACCACCAGGGAACACUGGUAACACUGGACCACCCGGCCUGCCUGGUGAAAUUGGAUUUUCAGGCAAACCUGGCGAAGCGGGAAAGCCCGGUCUUCCUGGUAAAGAUGGACUGGAUGGUCUUCCUGGUAAUGAUGGCACCAUGGGGCCCAGAGGAGAGCGUGGAACAGAUGGUUUUCCUGGCAAGCCUGGACCAAAGGGUGAUGAUGGGCCUCCUGGACCAAGAGGACCUCCAGGGGAGAGAGGAGAGGCUGGUGCUCCUGGCCAACCUGGUGCUGGUGGAGCAAGAGGAGAGAGGGGAAGUCCUGGUGAGAGAGGACAGGAGGGACCAUUCGGGCCAAAAGGUGAAAAGGGUGACAAGGGUGAAAUAGGGGCCAGGGGACCGCCUGGUAUUCCUGGAAAUGUAGCAAAUGUUAUUCCUGAACCGGGUGAACCUGGAAAACCAGGAGAGAAGGGAGAGAAAGGGGACCAAGGACAGACUGGAGAAAUGGGCCCAAGAGGAUUACCUGGUGAACAAGGCUUUAAGGGUCCAACUGGACCAGCGGGCCCUAAAGGUGACACUGGACUUCAAGGAGAGACAGGACGCGUUGGAGACCCAGGCCCUCCUGGCGUAGCAGGUCCUCAGGGGCCUCGAGGACUACCGGGCAAUGUGGGCAUACCAGGCAUCAUUGGGCCCCCUGGUGCAGCUGGAGAGAGAGGAGACAAGGGAGAGCCAGGCAAACCAGGGCAAACAGGUCAACGAGGUCCAUCCGGAGAGCCUGGCUUGAUUGGGCCCCCUGGACCAACCGGGAAGGGAAAAGAUGGCCUAACGGGUGAACCAGGACCACGGGGAAAUGAAGGACCCCCAGGGCCUAAGGGCCCACCAGGGUCAAGUGGGGAGCCGGGAUUACCAGGGGACAGGGGCCCCCCAGGAGAAGGCAAAGUAGGGCCUCAGGGCCCCCCCGGAAAUAAUGGGGAUCCCGGAUCUCCUGGCUUGAGAGGCCUACCUGGUGUUGCUGGUGCUCAGGGCCCUGCAGGACAUAAUGGUCUGCCGGGAAGGCCAGGAGAGAAAGGAUCACCCGGAGAGCCUGGAAAACCAGCAGACCUUUCAGAUGUAAAACUGAAGGACAUCUGUUCAGACUGCCCAGCGGGUCCACCUGGACCACCUGGUAUCCUGGGACUCCCUGGCGAUAAAGGACAACAGGGACCUCCUGGGAAAAACGGUCAAGAUGGCUACCAAGGCUCGCCGGGCCUACCUGGACCUCAGGGCCCCCCUGGAACUGAUGGAGCAAAGGGAAUCAAAGGCGAUCGUGGAACUGCUGGAGCCCCAGGAGAUAAAGGAGAAAAGGGUCAUCCUGGACCUCCAGGUCACCCUGGCCCUGCUGGAAUGAUGGGCUCAGCUGGUAACGAUGGACAACCUGGUCCUGCUGGUCCCCCAGGACCUCCUGGAGAGAAGGGCAAAGAGGGUCUCAAGGGGAUCCAGGGUCCUCCGGGUCUUCCUGGAUUGACAGGUCCACCUGGGAAAAUGGGAAAAGAUGGACAACAAGGUGAAGCAGGAGAAUCAGGCAAGCGAGGUGAACCUGGACCACCAGGAAACCCUGGACUACGGGGACUCCCAGGCUUUAAAGGCCACAGAGGAGAACCUGGCAGUCAGGGGUCAAAGGGAGAAGAUGGAAAGCCUGGACCACCUGGACGGGAUGGCAAACCUGGAAAAGAGGGUCUGAAGGGGCCACCAGGACCAGAAGGACUUAUUGGACCAAGAGGGGAGCCCGGCAAACAAGGUGAACCAGGACCUUCAGGCAAAGCAGGCCUCCCUGGAACGCCUGGCCUUAGGGGCGACAAGGGAGAAUCUGGCAACCCGGGAUUACCAGGAUUCAGUGGGCCUAAAGGUCCAUCGGGUCCACCUGGUCCAAUUGGUCCGGAAGGGAAACAGGGAGUUCCAGGCAGGAUGGGUGACCGUGGUCUUAAGGGGGAGAAAGGGGACUCAGGCAUGAAGGGAGACAAAGGCCAUUCCGGAGAACCAGGCAUCCCAGGAAAUCCGGGACCACCUGGCAGAAAGGGACACACUGGAAUGAUGGGUAUGUCAGGACCACCGGGAGAAAUGGGAGCUCCCGGGCCACAAGGACCGUCUGGAAACCCUGGUAUGCCGGGCCCGAGGGGGGAGUCUGCCUCAGUGGAGCUGAUGAGACGGCUCAUUCAGGAGGAACUGUCCAAACAGCUGGAUGCCAAACUGGCCUACCUCAUGGCUCAGAUGCAACCAGCCCAUGUCAAGAGUUCUACGGGGCGCCCAGGACCGCCUGGCCCUCCUGGUAAAGACGGGAAUCCCGGGCGACCUGGCCCACCCGGAGAACCUGGUAUACCUGGAUUGAAUGGUGGAGAAGGAUCGAGGGGGCCCAUGGGCCCUAAAGGUGAAAAGGGGACUCAAGGAGAAAAGGGAGAACCAGGUGUUGGUGAAAGAGGAGAACAAGGUCCUCCUGGUCCAAUAGGUCCAGCCGGCAUGCCAGGCUACGGCAAAGACGGAAGCCCGGGACAAGCAGGAGCCCAAGGAGAACCAGGAAACCCUGGCCCCCACGGCCAACCCGGCCCUCCAGGACCUACUGGCCAAUGUGACCCCUCACAGUGCGCCUACUAUGCCAGCCUCGCCAACAGACCUCACACCAAAAACGUCAAGGGGACUUAGAUAAACAGAAGAGCUGUAUUUAUGAACAUUGUCUCAAAGGACUUUUUUUUUUUUGGAGGACUGACAGUCAUUCUUUUUUAUUUUCUUUAUGAAGCUUGGGGGAUUGGACGCUGGGGACUUUUUCGGGAGGGCAGCUAAUUAUUUUUUCCUGACUUGCAUGCUUCCUGUAAAAUAUAUCGGGAAACAACGCGGGUCCCUCCAGGGUGAAAAAAGGCUCUUCAUGGGGAUCUUGAGGUAUGCGACACUUUGAAAAAGAACAUGGCUUUAUUGUGUUGGUGGAAGAAAAACAUUGCUGCCAUCCUACAUUUGAACAAAAGCACACUUCAGGUUGUAUUUGUGAAGUUUUGUCUUCUAACUGGCUCAGUUAGUCUAUCGGGUGAGCUUAUUAAGAAUGAUUAAUUCAUAAUUUUACCAUUUGCAUUUGUUUGGGCGUAUGCAGCUCAGUCAUGGUGCUGCAAGGCAGUAGCAGCUGUCUUUUUAGUAUACAUCACAAAAUAUCUAUACAAUUUCUACAGUUGUGUGUGUGUCUCUCGUGUCGUUUAGAUCCACUUCGGUCGGAGAACUCCUUUCCAAAACUGGAACUCGUGUCUCACUUGUGUUUGUAAACAGCAGACUUCUUCCCGCUGUACAUGAAAAGAGGUGGUGGGUUUCGGUUCAUACAGGUGGAUGGGUCACAAAGGCCCGGCGGACCAGAAGGACCCCUCGGACCAACCGCUCCCGGGAUGCCGGGAGUUCCUUGUUCACCAGGCUCUCCGUUUUUGCCGUCCUUUCCCACACCGGGAGCACCUGGGACACCUGAAGGUGGGAAUGACAUAAAUGGAUAACCAUUGUCAUAAGCAAGUCUUCAGAUUUCAUUCUGUACUGCCUUGUAUGGAAAUCUUACCUGGUGCACCCGGUGGACCCGCGCUUCCUUUAAUCCCAACGCCGUCCUCUCCCUUAUCUCCUUUAUCUCCCUUGUCUCCAGUAUCGCCUGCAGAGAGGAGCCAGAUAUAAUAAGAUACUAUUGUUUACACUUUUAACAGCAGAGAGAUUUAAUAUGGACCUUUCUUUCCUGGUGCGCCUGGAAGACCAAAGAACCCUGGAUGACCUUUGGGACCCAUCACCCCCUGAGCUCCUGGAGGUCCCGCCGCUCCUUCGGCUCCAGCAGGGCCCGGUGGUCCCGCCGGUCCUGGGAUACCAGGGGCACCGAGGGCAGCUGGCCUCUUGAGGAAAUCUUUCAUGAAUUCUCCUAAUUGUUCUACAUGAGGAUGAAACAAAGUGUUGGCUCAAAUCCAGCGAUCUCAGUGAUUCAUCAAGGUUUGAAUGUAUAAAUCCUACCUUCAACGACAGCUGAACACAUUUCCCGGAGCUUCUCGUCACUAACUUUAGGGCCCUGUGAGAAUACAAUGGAGUUUUAGAUCUUAACCUCACAUCAAAUCUAAAAUAAAGCAUAUUUUAGAAGAGGUGUUGGAGUGAGAACUUACCGGCAGACCUCUGGGUCCUGGUGCUCCUGGUAAUCCUGGUUCUCCCUCCAGCCCUCUUGCUCCCAUCGGACCAGCCAGACCUUCAUGACCUGGCUGACCUGGUCUGCCUUCUGCCCCGGUAGCUCCUCUGAGACCCUUGGCUCCAGGCUGAGGAUGAUAAAUGAAAUCCUGCUACUGUAUGUUCAUGUACUGUAUAGAUUAUGUAUGGUAGUCCCAUUCAUUGUUUUAAUGUGCUGUUCAUGCUAAGCAUCAACCUAUUUACCUCUCCUUUAUUUCCAGGAAUACCAGGAGGGCCCUAAAAGAGAAAAGGGAGAAGACAUUUACAAAAAAAGGUUGUUUCAAGGUUAUUGAAGCAAACGUAAGUUCAGCAUACCUGGUCUCCCUUGACUCCAGGAUCUCCGGCAACACCUGUAUCUCCCUACUCAUCAAAGAACAAUGACCCUGCUCUCCUUGAGGUCCAAUAGCUCCCUAGUGACCAUCAUUGUGUCAAUACGUCAUAUUUCAAUUGGGAAAUGAUAUUUUUUAAAAUGGCCGUCAAUGGGAACACUGACUUCAUCACCCUUUGGUCCCUCCAAGCCUUGGCGUCCACGCACUCCCUCCACACCCUGAUGGGACAACCUCAAUAAGCACUUCCUGACGCUGAUUUCUUGUACUAAACACCCAAGCUGAUCAUGUGAAGAUUCUUACUGGAGAUCCAGGUGGGCCUGUGGGUCCUGGGACACCAUUAAACCCUGGAGGACCCUGGGACACAUCGAGAAAAAAAUCCUCAGCUUUCACUUUAUAAAUGUCUCCAGGUGUGUGUGAGUGACAGGAAGAAAGGCUCUGACUCGCUUGGCGCCAUGUGACGACCUGUCCUUUUCAGACAUUUUCCUAGGAGCACCCGGGCUGCCAGGAGCCCCCGGAAGACCCUUUGAGAGAAGAUAAAACAGUCAAUCCACACCAUGAAGCCCGCACCACAGGGAAUGUCGACAUCCAACUCUGGAAACGUUGAAAUGAUGACGAACUACACAAUCCCUGAAAAGAGUGCUUCUUCUUUUCUUCAGCCACCUAAAGAGACCUGUCUUUGUGGCGACUGAGUCAGCUCAUCGACUGCGAGUGGCGUGGCCGUGGACGCGACACAUCUGGAGGCAGUUCACAGAUCCCACAUAAAUGCUGAGAAAUGAGAUCAAGUGGCGAGAAGGGGGGGGUCCCUUCGACCCAGUCGGCUGGGGGUUCCUCCCUUUAAUGUGGGGGUCCGCCCGUCUGUCGGAGUCGGGGGGCCCGGGUGCUGGUCCUCCGAUGGUACGGCCUGCAGCUCCUCCCAGUGUGGACGGCCCCAAAGAUGCGCGUUCGCCUCUUGAGUGAGUGAAAUGUCAAAGAGGUGACUGAUGGCUUCGUCAGCAGCAAGGACAGAUGUCGGCCUCCAACGUUUACACCCUUAAAAGACGUCUUCAAAGGUCCCCUCGGGGUCUCACUGACUUUUUUUUUCC